CCGAUACCAUUCCAACUAUUCCCGCUAAAAAUAAUUAAGUCAAGCAGCGGCACCGCCCAUUUGAGAUGGCCAUGAAUGGUUGGAUCUGCCUCGAGAGCCUGCCGGCAUAUCUCCCUUUGGUGCACGCCCCAUGACAGAUGACCACUUCAUGAACCCAUGCAUUUUAAUCCGCAGGCGGCAGUCCGGGCUCUUUUGGCCUGGCCAAAAAACAAUGCCCAUGCGGCCCAAAAGGGCUGGGAUUCUGCAUCCGGCCAGGCUUCAGGGAUCUUUGAGGAUGGGUGAGCCGGUGGCCCGAAGUCCAGUCCGGGUGGAUAAUGAUGGAAGUGCACUCGGCCUGGCUCGCGAAUCCUUUUUGUCUGUCCUUUUAUGUCCCAGUCAAAUUACCUCAAUAGCUGGGGAAAAGGGAAAGAGUGUGGUAAGGAAAAUCCUUUUUUCUCGGCCCUUCUUUAAGGCUAUGGAAAGUAAAAUGUAUAAUGGGUUUGCUUCUGCAAAGGGGGAAUUAUUUAAGCGGGCUUUAUAAAAAUCGAUCUGCGUAAUGCAAGGAAAUAAUGGACAUAUAAUCAAGGGAUAAUCAAGGAUUACUAAUACAACAAAAUUGGAUAGCUUUAUUAUAUGUUUAGUUGGUGCAUUUAUAAGUAGCUAAUUUUGAUAGCGUCAUAAAACUAAAAGAUGUCACAGAAUAUAUUCUAAAGCCCUAGUAUACUAAGCACAUAUACCACAUACCGAAAACUUAUCAGCUAAAAUGCUAUAACCCAAAUCCAACAGUUACCAAGUUUUUGGUCAUGGCAAAUAUUUCAAUAUAAAUAUAUGAUAAAAUAUUACGCAUACGCGUUCAAGUGCAAUUUAUGAGCGGAACCACUAUCUCUUUCGCUCGAAAAUCCAUAAGCUUAAGCAGGCUGUAGGCUAAA
Molecule: RNA transcript, 908 nt
Organism: Drosophila teissieri
Lineage: Eukaryota; Metazoa; Arthropoda; Insecta; Diptera; Drosophilidae
Exons: 3
Source: RefSeq, a predicted model, not a curated record